RNAcentral lists this ribosomal RNA (492 nucleotides) under uncultured bacterium. Its description in RNAcentral is "partial 16S ribosomal RNA". It matches the Rfam family "Bacterial small subunit ribosomal RNA", at positions 29 to 507 of the family's 1533-position model. The record is from RNAcentral.
AGUGAACGCUGGCGGUAGGCCUAACACAUGCAAGUCGAACGGCAGCACAGUAAGAGCUUGCUCUUACGGGUGGCGAGUGGCGGACGGGUGAGGAAUACAUCGGAAUCUACUUUUUCGUGGGGGAUAACGUAGGGAAACUUACGCUAAUACCGCAUACGACCUACGGGUGAAAGCAGGGGAUCUUCGGACCUUGCGCGAUUGAAUGAGCCGAUGUCGGAUUAGCUAGUUGGCGGGGUAAAGGCCCACCAAGGCGACGAUCCGUAGCUGGUCUGAGAGGAUGAUCAGCCACACUGGAACUGAGACACGGUCCAGACCCCUACGGGAGGCAGCAGUGGGGAAUAUUGGGCAAUGGGCGCAAGCCUGAUCCAGCCAUACCGCGUGGGUGAAGAAGGCCUUCGGGUUGUAAAGCCCUUUUGUUGGGAAAGAAAAGCAGCAGGUUAAUACCCCGCUGUUCUGACGGUACCCAAAGAAUAAGCACCGGCUAACUUCGUG